This 290-nucleotide RNase P RNA is filed under the name Candidatus Terraquivivens tikiterensis. RNAcentral describes it as "Aigarchaeota archaeon NZ13_MG1 RNase P RNA component". It matches the Rfam family "Archaeal RNase P". Rfam says of the family: Ribonuclease P (RNase P) is a ubiquitous endoribonuclease, found in archaea, bacteria and eukarya as well as chloroplasts and mitochondria. Its best characterised activity is the generation of mature 5'-ends of tRNAs by cleaving the 5'-leader elements of precursor-tRNAs. Cellular RNase Ps are ribonucleoproteins. The record is from RNAcentral. Lineage: Archaea; Thermoproteati; Nitrososphaerota; Candidatus Wolframiiraptoraceae.
GCGAGUGGCUGGGCGGGUCUCGGGGAGCUCCUGCGGAAGUUCCUCCCCCGAGCGGGGGCGCGCGACGCCGCGAGGCGUAGGGGGAGACCCCUGGCAACGCACCAGAAACGAUAUCCCCCGAUGUCGAUGAGCUUGAUGCGGCCAGAAGCCGCUGACGAGGCAUCGGGAGCGAGUGGAACGGGCGGCCCGCGCGGGAAAGGCAGACGAGGCCUUUGAGUUGCCCCCACGAGGCCUCGGUGCCGAUUAGACAAAUCCCGCCUAAAACAGAAGGAGGACUACGGGCCACACGC